Long non-coding RNA from Selaginella moellendorffii, 129 nucleotides. RefSeq lists it as uncharacterized. The record is from RefSeq and is a predicted model, not a curated record. NCBI's taxonomy places the organism in Eukaryota, Viridiplantae, Streptophyta, Lycopodiopsida, Selaginellales, Selaginellaceae. The transcript has 3 exons.
AGAAAGGAGAUCUUCUAUGAAAGUUCUGUAAGUGAAUUACAAUUGCGUAAGCGAAGUUGCUGCGAGUUCAGAUCUCCUAUGAAAGUUUACGUGAGGAAGUUGCUGAAACUGAAUUUGUAUUUUAUUCUU